RNAcentral lists this ribosomal RNA (403 nucleotides) under Actinomycetes bacterium. RNAcentral describes it as "Actinobacteria bacterium partial 16S ribosomal RNA". It matches the Rfam family "Bacterial small subunit ribosomal RNA", at positions 355 to 776 of the family's 1533-position model. The record is from RNAcentral. Lineage: Bacteria; Bacillati; Actinomycetota; Actinomycetes.
UGGGGAAUAUUGGACAAUGGGCGCAAGCCUGAUCCAGCCAUGCCGCGUGAGUGAUGAAGGCCCUAGGGUUGUAAAGCUCUUUCACCGGUGAAGAUAAUGACGGUAACCGGAGAAGAAGCCCCGGCUAACUUCGUGCCAGCAGCCGCGGUAAUACGAAGGGGGCUAGCGUUGUUCGGAUUUACUGGGCGUAAAGCGCACGUAGGCGGACUUUUAAGUCAGGGGUGAAAUCCCGGGGCUCAACCCCGGAACUGCCUUUGAUACUGGAAGUCUUGAGUAUGGUAGAGGGGGGUGGAAUUCCGGGUGUAGAGGUGAAUUUCGUAGAUAUUCGGGGGACCACCAGUGGCGAAGGCGGCUCACUGGACCAUUACCGACGCUGAGGGGCGAAAGCGUGGGAGCAAACAGG